GACGAACCGAGCGAACGUUGUUCGGAAUCACUGGGCUUAAAGGGCGCGUAGGCGGGCGAUCAAGUCGGUGGUGAAAUCCUGCAGCUUAACUGCAGAACUGCCUCCGAUACUGGUUGUCUCGAGGAAGGUAGGGGCGUACGGAACAGUUGGUGGAGCGGUGAAAUGCGUUGAUAUCAACUGGAACUCCGGUGGCGAAGGCGGUACGCUGGACCUUUUCUGACGCUGAGGCGCGAAAGCCAGGGGAGCAAACGGG
This 253-nucleotide ribosomal RNA is filed under the name uncultured bacterium. RNAcentral's name for it is "partial 16S ribosomal RNA". It matches the Rfam family "Bacterial small subunit ribosomal RNA", at positions 524 to 776 of the family's 1533-position model. RNAcentral also lists the same sequence under 1 other name. The record is from RNAcentral.